CGUGGAUGCAUUGUUAGUCCAGAUCUCUCAGUGUUGAACUUGGUCAUCGUGAAAAAGGGAGAACAUGACCUUCCUGGACUUACUGACACUGAGAAGCCCAGGAUGAGAGGUCCGAAGAGAGCCUCAAAGAUCAGGAAGUUGUUUAACCUUUCCAAAGAAGAUGAUGUUCGGAAGUAUGUCAACACAUACCGUCGGACCUUUACAACCAAAACUGGUGAGUCAUUUGUGCAUUCUUUUUAUAUAUAUGCAAAUGUGG
Molecule: long non-coding RNA, 256 nt
Filed under: Citrus maxima (pomelo)
Lineage: Eukaryota; Viridiplantae; Streptophyta; Magnoliopsida; Sapindales; Rutaceae
Description: long non-coding RNA (CMAX_LNC002070)
Source: RNAcentral